This 73-nucleotide transfer RNA is filed under the name Stegodyphus mimosarum. It matches the Rfam family "tRNA". Rfam says of the family: Transfer RNA (tRNA) molecules are approximately 80 nucleotides in length. Lineage: Eukaryota; Metazoa; Arthropoda; Arachnida; Araneae; Eresidae. The record is from Rfam by way of RNAcentral.
GCCUUCGUGGUGUAGUGGUCAGCCCGCUCGACGCGUAACCGAGAGGUCCGCGGUUCGAUUCCCGGCGAAGGCG